GCUGAAUUGGUCUAGUGGUAUGAUACACCCUUAGGGUCCUUAGCGUCUUCUAUCUGCCUGGGUGUGGUUCUCGGUUCGAUUCCGGGAUUCGGCC
Non-coding RNA from Naganishia onofrii, 94 nucleotides. The record is from the annotation of a GenBank genome assembly. NCBI's taxonomy places the organism in Eukaryota, Fungi, Basidiomycota, Tremellomycetes, Filobasidiales, Filobasidiaceae.